UAAGAAAUGAAAUGACCUUCGCGGUCCACACAUUAAAAAGAAAAAACGAAGGUAAUUACGGAAUUUACAAGGGAAUUUAUUUACUGUAUUAUCAAUAAGAAAAGUGACAAUGUUAUUGCUUGUUU
Molecule: long non-coding RNA, 125 nt
Organism: Aricia agestis (brown argus)
Lineage: Eukaryota; Metazoa; Arthropoda; Insecta; Lepidoptera; Lycaenidae
Exons: 3
Source: RefSeq, a predicted model, not a curated record